GCCAGGCGUGGUGGCACAUACCUGUAACCCCAGCAACUUGGGAGGCUGAGGCAGGAGGAUCCUGAGUUCAAAGGCUGACUCAGCAACAGUGAGGCCCUGAGAAACUCAGCAAGACCCUGUCUCUA
RNAcentral lists this small RNA (125 nucleotides) under Marmota monax (woodchuck). Lineage: Eukaryota; Metazoa; Chordata; Mammalia; Rodentia; Sciuridae. The record is from RNAcentral.